CAACAGAGUGCGGAUAUUACAUUAUCCGUUAUAUGUUUGAGAUUAUUGAGAGCGGAUGUAUUACAAAAUUUGAUGAGAUUUUUGAUAAUGAUUGUUCAUAUACUAUUGAUGACAUUAACUUCAUCCGAGACCUUUUGGCACAGCAACUGCUUCAAGAAUUGUGGUCCAGGGAUUGAGCAAGUUUAUGUUUAGAGACAAUAGGAUCAAUAUUGACUUUUGUAAUUUGUUCUUCUUUUUUGACUAGUUAGUUAAUUAAUGUGUCUAUAUAGAUGAAGUUAUGAUGUUGAUAUGUCUUGGCUGAAAAUAUUGACUGGUUCAUACUAUUUCAA
This is a long non-coding RNA of Neltuma alba, 329 nucleotides long. RefSeq lists it as uncharacterized. The record is from RefSeq and is a predicted model, not a curated record. Lineage: Eukaryota; Viridiplantae; Streptophyta; Magnoliopsida; Fabales; Fabaceae. The transcript has 2 exons.